Molecule: ribosomal RNA, 497 nt
Filed under: uncultured bacterium
Lineage: Bacteria
Description: partial 16S ribosomal RNA
Rfam family: Bacterial small subunit ribosomal RNA
Source: RNAcentral
GAUGAACGCUGGCGGCGUGCCUAAUACAUGCAAAUCGAGCGAACGGACGAGAAGCUUGCUUCUCUGAUGUUAGCGGCGGACGGGGGAGUAACACGUGGAUAACCUACCUAUAAGACUGGGAUAACUUCGGGAAACCGGAGCUAAUACCGGAUAAUAUUUUGAACCGCAUGGUUCAAAAGUGAAAGACGGUCUUGCUGUCACUUAUAGAUGGAUCCGCGCUGCAUUAGCUAGUUGGUAAGGUAACGGCAUACCAAGGCAACGAUGCAUAGCCGACCUGAGAGGGUGAUCGGCCACACUGGAACUGAGCCGCGGUCCAGACUCCUACGGGAGGCAGCAGUAGGGAAUCUUCCGCAAUGGGCGAAAGCCUGACGGAGCACCGCCGCGUGAGUGAUGAAGGUCUUCGGAUCGUAAAACUCUGUUAUUAGGGAAGAACAUAUGUGUAAGUACCUGUGCACAUCUUGACGGUACCUAAUCAGAAAGCCACGGCUAACUACGUG